Molecule: ribosomal RNA, 978 nt
Filed under: Staphylococcus epidermidis
Lineage: Bacteria; Bacillati; Bacillota; Bacilli; Caryophanales; Staphylococcaceae
Description: bacterial SSU rRNA
Rfam family: Bacterial small subunit ribosomal RNA
Source: RNAcentral
UGAUGCUAUACUGCAGUCGAGCGACAGACGAGGAGCUUGCUCCUCUGACGUUAGCGGCGGACGGGUGAGUAACACGUGGAUAACCUACCUAUAAGACUGGGAUAACUUCGGGAAACCGGAGCUAAUACCGGAUAAUAUAUUGAACCGCAUGGUUCAAUAGUGAAAGACGGUUUUGCUGUCACUUAUAGAUGGAUCCGCGCCGCAUUAGCUAGUUGGUAAGGUAACGGCUUACCAAGGCAACGAUGCGUAGCCGACCUGAGAGGGUGAUCGGCCACACUGGAACUGAGACACGGUCCAGACUCCUACGGGAGGCAGCAGUAGGGAAUCUUCCGCAAUGGGCGAAAGCCUGACGGAGCAACGCCGCGUGAGUGAUGAAGGUCUUCGGAUCGUAAAACUCUGUUAUUAGGGAAGAACAAAUGUGUAAGUAACUAUGCACGUCUUGACGGUACCUAAUCAGAAAGCCACGGCUAACUACGUGCCAGCAGCCGCGGUAAUACGUAGGUGGCAAGCGUUAUCCGGAAUUAUUGGGCGUAAAGCGCGCGUAGGCGGUUUUUUAAGUCUGAUGUGAAAGCCCACGGCUCAACCGUGGAGGGUCAUUGGAAACUGGAAAACUUGAGUGCAGAAGAGGAAAGUGGAAUUCCAUGUGUAGCGGUGAAAUGCGCAGAGAUAUGGAGGAACACCAGUGGCGAAGGCGACUUUCUGGUCUGUAACUGACGCUGAUGUGCGAAAGCGUGGGGAUCAAACAGGAUUAGAUACCCUGGUAGUCCACGCCGUAAACGAUGAGUGCUAAGUGUUAGGGGGUUUCCGCCCCUUAGUGCUGCAGCUAACGCAUUAAGCACUCCGCCUGGGGAGUACGACCGCAAGGUUGAAACUCAAAGGAAUUGACGGGGACCCGCACAAGCGGGGGAGCAUGUGGUUUAAUUCGAAGCAACGCGAAGAACCUUACCAAAUCUUGACAUCCUCUGACCCCUCUAGAGA